CCUACGGGUGGCAGCAGUGGGGAAUAUUGCACAAUGGGGGAAACCCUGAUGCAGCAACGCCGCGUGAGUGAAGAAGUAUUUCGGUAUGUUAAGCUCUAUCAGCAGGGAAGAAGAAAGACGGUACCUGACUAAGAAGCCCCGGCUAACAACGGGCCAGCAGCCGGGGUAAUAAGCAGGGGGCAAGCUUUAUCCGGAUUUACUGGGUGUAAAGGGAGCGUAGGCGGCUGUGCAAGUCUGAAGUGAAAGGCCGUGGCUCAACCGCGGACCUGCUGUGGAAACUGUAUGGCUUGAGUACUAGAGGGGCAGGCGGAAUUCGUGGUGUAGCGGUGAAAUGCAUAGAUAUUGGGAGGAACACCAGUGGCGAAGGCAGCAUGCUGGCUAGAAACUGACGUUGAGGCACGAAAGCGUGGGGAGCGAACAGGAUUAGAUACCCCGGUAGUC
RNAcentral lists this ribosomal RNA (441 nucleotides) under uncultured bacterium. RNAcentral's name for it is "partial 16S ribosomal RNA". It matches the Rfam family "Bacterial small subunit ribosomal RNA", at positions 338 to 795 of the family's 1533-position model. The record is from RNAcentral.